Molecule: ribosomal RNA, 497 nt
Filed under: uncultured bacterium
Lineage: Bacteria
Description: partial 16S ribosomal RNA
Rfam family: Bacterial small subunit ribosomal RNA
Source: RNAcentral
GACGAACGCUGGCGGCGUGCCUAAUACAUGCAAGUUGAGCGCUGAAGGUUGGUACUUGUACCAACUGGAUGAGCAGCGAACGGGUGAGUAACGCGUGGGGAAUCUGCCUUUGAGCGGGGGACAACAUUUGGAAACGAAUGCUAAUACCGCAUAAAAACUUUAAACACAAGUUUUAAGUUUGAAAGAUGCAAUUGCAUCACUCAAAGAUGAUCCCGCGUUGUAUUAGCUAGUUGGUGAGGUAAAGGCUCACCAAGGCGAUGAUACAUAGCCGACCUGAGAGGGUGGUCGGCCACAAUGGGACUGAGACACGGCCCAAACUCCUACGGGAGGCAGCAGGAGGGAAUCUUCGGCAAUGGACGAAAGUCUGACCGGGCAACGCCGCGUGAGUGAAGAAGGUUUUCGGAUCGUAAAACUCUGUUGGUAGGGAAGAACGUUGGUGAGAGUGGAAAGCUCAUCAAGUGACGGUAACUACCCAGAAAGGGACGGCUAACUACGUG